GAUGAACGCUGGCGGCGUGCCUAAUACAUGCAAGUCGAACGAACAGAGGAGAACCUUUCCUCUCGGAUGUUAGCGGCGGACGUGUGAGUAACGCAUGGAUACCCUCCCUAUGAGAGUGGGAUCACUUCGGGAAACCAUAGCUCAUACCGUAUAAUAUUUUGAACCGCGUGGUUCAAUAGUGAGAGACGAUUUUGCUGUCACUUAUAGAUGGAGCCGCGCUGCAUUAGCUAGUUGGUAAGGUAACGGCUUACCAAGGCGACGAUGCGUAGCCGGCCUGAGAGGGUGAUCGGCCACACUGGAACUGAGACACGGUCCAGACUCCUACGGGAGGCAGCAGUAGGGAAUCUUCGGCAAUGGGCGAAAGCCUGACGGAGCAACGCCGCGUGAGUGAUGAAGGUCUUCGGAUCGUAAACCUCUGUUAUUAGGGAAGAACAGAUGUGUAAUUAACUGUGCACAUCUUGACGGUACCUAAUCAGAAAGCCACGGCUAACUACGUG
This 497-nucleotide ribosomal RNA is filed under the name uncultured bacterium. RNAcentral's name for it is "partial 16S ribosomal RNA". It matches the Rfam family "Bacterial small subunit ribosomal RNA", at positions 28 to 507 of the family's 1533-position model. The record is from RNAcentral.